UAUGGCUGAGGUUUGGCGGCUGCUCAGGGAGCACAUUCCACUCUUCCGAGCCUCCAAGGAGUGCCUUGCUCCUUUCCGGAAGGACUGAACUGCUCCCUCCCUUAAGGCAUUUUGCGGAAUCACCCAUCAAAGCCCAUCAGCUGCCCCUGCAUUUCCAGGUGGUGUGCAUUUGGCUCAGAUGAGCCUGGAGCAUGGUGGAUCCCUGUGAGCUGACUUGAUCCAAACACUGCUCCCUGUUUUGAAGACCAUGAGCUGAUCUUGGGAGAGGAAAGUUGUGAGGAGAAGUCGGGGGACAACUUGAAUAACAAGGAUUUGAUUUAAGCAUCAGUGUUGGACAAGAAGAUGCUGGGGUCGAAUCAUCAGAAGAAGCCGGAUAACUCACCACAGUAAAUAUGCUGAGAGAGAAGAUGUCUGCUAUACGUGGGACCAGUGGAUACCCAGAACACCUCUCCUCCGCGGAGCUUCGGAAGAACCACAGUGUCCC
Balaenoptera acutorostrata (minke whale) is the source of this 484-nucleotide long non-coding RNA. RefSeq lists it as uncharacterized. The transcript is spliced from 4 exons. The record is from RefSeq and is a predicted model, not a curated record. Lineage: Eukaryota; Metazoa; Chordata; Mammalia; Artiodactyla; Balaenopteridae.